Molecule: non-coding RNA, 69 nt
Filed under: unclassified sequences
Description: S15-Flavobacteria ribosomal protein leader
Rfam family: S15-Flavobacteria ribosomal protein leader
Source: RNAcentral
UACUUUUGCAACCGUCUAAACCGAGAGUCGGUGUGGCUACAUAAAAAUUAUUUAUACAAUAUUGGCAUG